AGUGAACGCUGGCGGUAGGCCUAACACAUGCAAGUCGAACGGCAGCACAGUAAGAGCUUGCUCUUACGGGUGGCGAGUGGCGGACGGGUGAGGAAUACAUCGGAAUCUACUUUUUCGUGGGGGAUAACGUAGGGAAACUUACGCUAAUACCGCAUACGACCUACGGGUGAAAGCAGGGGAUCUUCGGACCUUGCGCGAUUGAAUGAGCCGAUGUCGGAUUAGCUAGUUGGCGGGGUAAAGGCCCACCAAGGCGACGAUCCGUAGCUGGUCUGAGAGGAUGAUCAGCCACACUGGAACUGGGACACGGUCCAGACUCCUACGGGAGGCAGCAGUGGGGAAUAUUGGACAAUGGGCGCAAGCCUGAUCCAGCCAUACCGCGUGGGUGAAGAGGGCCUUCGGGUUGUAAAGCCCUUUUGUUGGGAAAGAAAAGCAGCAGGUUAAUACCCCGCUGUUCUGACGGUACCCAAAGAAUAAGCACCGGCUAACUUCGUG
Molecule: ribosomal RNA, 492 nt
Filed under: uncultured bacterium
Lineage: Bacteria
Description: partial 16S ribosomal RNA
Rfam family: Bacterial small subunit ribosomal RNA
Source: RNAcentral